CAUUGCAAAAACGUUCAAUAGCAUAUCGGAGCAUUCGAAUAUCGACCGAAAAAACCAUUGAUAUUUUGACAGUUGCUGACAACAGCACCGAUAAAAUCGAGUGAUACGACUAAUUUUCCACAGAAAAAUCAUAAAGAUUACCGAAAAACACGUUAAUGAAGAUGCAGAUGGAACAGAUUUUCGAGUACAGGGCAACAUACAGUUGUACAAAGUGUCGUGAACAAUGGAUGUCAAAGAAUGCGAUGCGAAAUCGGCCGACAUUAUGUAAAAUUUGUGGAAUGCCAGCCUAUCCAAUUGACGAAAAUUUAUGCUCGUUUUUCCACGUUCCACGAUUCAGAUCAAUCUCACGUUUGCUGACAAAGUCAUAACACACCCAACACACACGAAAAAAAUAUAGACGAUUCAAAGUUUUUUAAGAUGAUGUCAGAUCGAUGUCGAUGACGAUUUUAACCAAACGAAGAUGAAUUUACUUUUAGAUAAUUUUAGCUACUAAAUCCACCACAUUUGGAAAAUUCUAUCAUCAUCUGAUCCGGCCAAAUGUGAAAGAUUUACCUUAAACUGCAUUCGCUGUGACAACAGCAUUGAAACUAAUUUCUGUUCAAAUGUCAAACGCCAACGAAAAAAAAACUUUAGCAAUUAAAAUGUUGCAUUCGCUUAGAAAAUGUGAUCGCUGUUUGAAACAAUGAUAUUAAAUAUCGGUUUCUACAAAUUAAAA
Sitodiplosis mosellana (orange wheat blossom midge) is the source of this 715-nucleotide long non-coding RNA. RefSeq lists it as uncharacterized. Lineage: Eukaryota; Metazoa; Arthropoda; Insecta; Diptera; Cecidomyiidae. The transcript has 3 exons. The record is from RefSeq and is a predicted model, not a curated record.